GAUGAACGCUAGCGACAGGCUUAACACAUGCAAGUCGAGGGGCAUCGGGACGUAGCAAUACGUUGCCGGCGACCGGCGGAUGGGUGAGUAACGCGUAUGCAACCUGCCCACGACAGGGGGACAGCCCGUUGAAAGACGGAUUAAUACCCCAUAAAACAGGGGUUCCGCAUGGGACUAUUUGUUAAAGGGUUUUCCGCGAGGGGGAUCCGGUUGUGGAUGGGCAUGCGUUCCAUUAGGCAGUUGGUGAGGUAACGGCUCACCAAACCGACGAUGGAUAGGGGAACCGGGAGGUUGGUCCCCCACACUGGUACUGAGAUACGGACCAGACUCCUACGGGAGGCAGCAGUGAGGAAUUUUGGUCAAUGGACGGAAGUCUGAACCAGCCAAGUCGCGUGAAGGAAGGCGGCCCUAAGGGUUGUAAACUUCUUUUGUAAGGGAAUAAAGGCCGGUACGCGUUACCGGUUUGCAGGUACCUUACGAAUAAGGAUCGGCUAACUCCGUG
RNAcentral lists this ribosomal RNA (502 nucleotides) under uncultured bacterium. RNAcentral describes it as "bacterial SSU rRNA". It matches the Rfam family "Bacterial small subunit ribosomal RNA", at positions 28 to 507 of the family's 1533-position model. The record is from RNAcentral.